CCUACGGGCGGCUGCAGUCGAGAAUCAUUCACAAUGGGGGAAACCCUGAUGGUGCGACGCCGCGUGGGGGAAUGAAGGUCUUCGGAUUGUAAACCCCUGUCAUGUGGGAGCAAAUUAAAAAGAUAGUACCACAAUAGGAAGAGACGGCUAACUCUGUGCCAGCAGCCGCGGUAAUACAGAGGUCUCAAGCGUUGUUCGGAAUCACUGGGCGUAAGGCGUGCGUAGGCUGUUUCGUAAGUCGGGUGUGAAAGGCGCGGGCUCAACCCGCGGACGGCACAUGAUACUGCGAGACUAGAGUAAUGGAGGGGGAACCGGAAUUCUCGGUGUAGAAGUGAAAUGCGUAGAUAUCGAGAGGAACACUCGUGGCGAAGGCGGGUUCCUGGACAUUAACUGACGCUGAGGCACGAAGGCCAGGGGAGCGAAAGGGAUUAGAUACCCUGGUAGUC
This 446-nucleotide ribosomal RNA is filed under the name uncultured bacterium. Its description in RNAcentral is "partial 16S ribosomal RNA". It matches the Rfam family "Bacterial small subunit ribosomal RNA", at positions 338 to 795 of the family's 1533-position model. The record is from RNAcentral.